UGGGGAAUAUUGCACAAUGGGGGAAACCCUGAUGCAGCGACGCCGCGUGAACGAAGAAGGUAUUCGUAUCGUAAAGUUCUGUCCUAUGGGAAGAUAAUGACAGUACCAUAGAAGAAAGCUCCGGCUAAAUACGUGCCAGCAGCCGCGGUAAUACGUAUGGAGCGAGCGUUGUCCGGAAUUAUUGGGCGUAAAGGGUACGCAGGCGGUUUAAUAAGUCGAAUGUUAAAGAUCGGGGCUCAACCCCGCAAAGCAUUGGAAACUGAUAAACUUGAGUAGUGGAGAGGAAAGUGGAAUUCCUAGUGUAGUGGUGAAAGACGUAGAUAUUAGGAGGAAUACCAGUAGCGAAGGCGACUUUCUGGACACAAACUGACGCUGAGGUACGAAAGCGUGGGAAGCAAACAGG
RNAcentral lists this ribosomal RNA (403 nucleotides) under bacterium. RNAcentral's name for it is "partial 16S ribosomal RNA". It matches the Rfam family "Bacterial small subunit ribosomal RNA", at positions 355 to 776 of the family's 1533-position model. The record is from RNAcentral.